AUAAUAUAAGAUACAGUCUCUUAGGUUUUAACUAAAAAAACUAAGAGACUUCUCUUAAAUAAGAGAUAUAAGAGACGUCUCUUAGCUUUAUUAGUUAAAAGCUAAGAAACCGUAUAUUAUAUUAC
Non-coding RNA from Brassica rapa (field mustard), 125 nucleotides. Lineage: Eukaryota; Viridiplantae; Streptophyta; Magnoliopsida; Brassicales; Brassicaceae. The record is from Rfam.